CCUAAGCCAUUGUUCCUAUUUUACUCCUUGACUGGCAGGCGCCCUUCAAGAAAUUCAGUAUAAUAAUAUGGUUAUCAAAUAACUCCACUAAAUAAAAUGUAAAGUUCUAAACUAAGUUUCAUCUUUUACUAUUAGAAACAUCAAAUCAUAGCUGAACAAUUGGUCAACAUGUCAGAAAAAAAGGCUUUCUCCUGCACACCCACUGUACAAUUCUUCUUGACUUCUGUUUUAAAUUUUGAAGAAUUCUAGUUUUUGCUACAUAAUUCAUCCACUACUAAACUACUAAAUGGCUACUCAGUUACAGAGCAGUGAAGGGAAUUUCUGUUCAUGCAGAUGAUCCAUUUUAGAUCCCAGUUCAUAUUAGUUCAUUUUCGAACUUGAGCACUGUUUGAACAGUUGCUGAGCACAGAGCUAGGGAACACCAAUGGCUAUUAACAUACACAAACACAUAUACAUGAAUAUUGAUAACACGUAUAAUACUUUCCCAUUCACCAAUUCCUGAGCCUCAUUCUGCAACACCCACAAAAUUAGCUUCACUAAUUCUGGGCAUGUGAUUCACUUAGUUUCUAGCUCACUCCUGUAACAUGAACAGGUGGAGCUACUCCAGCAAUUGGAAUUUCAGUGAAUUGAAAUCAAAAAUCAGGGUUAGGACAGUCCAGCUGGGAAGUAGCUACCGCAGGUUCUAGGGUUAGGACAACAGAGGGUUCCCCCAGCCCAGUGUGGAGUGGCCCUGAGCAGUCAGGUGUAAGUCCUCAGCACUACAGAAUGUGCCCCACCAAAUUAGUUAACACAAAACAUACUCCUGGAUAAAUUAACACAAAACAUAAUAUAUGGAUAUUAACGCCCAGUGAUUUCUGAGCAUUAUUUUUUGGUGCUUUUGUUUGUGGGUCAGGGUUGGGGCACUAUUCUGGUGGGUAUUUGUGAGGAAAUCUUUGUGAAUUUUAUUCCCUUCGUGAAAACAUAAAAUCUUUGGCGCCAUAGGCCAUGUGUUCACUCCAUCUAUCCGGUGCCUGGCAACCCCCCAGAUACCCUGCUGACCUGAUACAAGACUAGAAACGGGAAGAAAAAUUAUCUUUCCUAACCUGAAAGUACCCGGUCAGGAAUAGUUGGUGUCUGGCCCUUUAAGACUGAGUGGCUAGAAGUGUGGGUGACGUCACAGAGCCCUGUCUGAGGUUCCAGUCGGGCACCAUUGUCGCAGCUUGAAGAGUGGGGCUGGAGUGGACAGGGGGUCCCGGCGGGGUUGCUCAGUAGCCGGUGGAGGGGGACCACAACCGGGUGGCCGCAGCGUCCUCCAGAGCAGUGCCACUGGAUGCCGGUGAAGGUCCCCAAGCUUUAUGUGGCCAGCAUGUGCUCCAGCCUGGUGUGCUCUCUCCUGCCCCUCUGUUCAUACCUUCAUUGGAUGUUCUUAGUUGAACAUGCUGGAAAAGUUCCAACAAGAGGCUGUCAGAAGGAAACAAAGGGGUUGGAGUCUCUGGGCAAAAUUAUAGACUUUCAUCAUUUAGAUUUCUUUUGGGCCAAAUGUAUGUUCCACCUACUUUUCUUACACAGGAUCAAAUAACUGAAUGAAUAAAAUGACAUAAUCUGUGAAAACUUGACUUGUAAAUUCUGAGCAUCCCAGGGUGUGGCCCAAAAAUAAACAAACCAAAGUAUUGAGCCUUGAGAUUUAUUGCUGGAUUUCACACAUCACUGUUGGCAGAUGACUUUCUCUGUGACUUUAUUAGAGGGGUGGGGAGUGGCAAACUCAAAUCCAGCAGUAAUCACGGAUAACUCCUUAGGGAUUCAGGGUGUAAAGUUCAGUCGGACGCAUGCAUGGGAAGUUCUCACUUACUGUCCCCUGCAAACCUUUGAAAUCACAGCUUGUUUUUGGCUCAGGGUCACACCAGGAGCUGCCAGGUGUCUACAGCCCUACCAUGACCACUACCAGUUGGGCCUUGUCCUAGCCUCCACCUGCAUGUCAGUCUGUUCUUAUCAGAGGUUUCACAGGAUUUAUAUAGAAUUUGAAUUUUGGGGUAAGAGAUAGGUCAGGAGUGCAGGCCCUGGCUUUGGAAGCACCCUGCGAUGGUAUAAUGGGUUCAUUUUCAGUUGGCCAUGCCCGAGAUGCUAAUGGGUUACUUCUGGCUCUUCUCAUUGAUCACCCACUGCAAGACGUGGGGACACUUUCUGUCUGAUGGAGAUUGAAACUUGAUUGAAGUGCAUGCCAGGCAAGCACCCUAUGCUCUGUGCUAUCUCUGAGGCCAUCAAAAAAAGUUUUUUCUCUGGUUAAAUUCCAGAAAGUUGUGAUAGUAGAUGUUCUUUUUCCUACAGUAUACAACUCAUAUUUCUUGAGUGUGUGUUUUUGCUUUGGUUUCACAUUCACCGGUAGUCUGGGCUUCCUUCUGACUCUUCACUCAGGAAUCACUCCUGGUGGGCUUUGUGGACUGUAGGGAUGAGGGAUGUCAAACCCGGGUAACUGUGUGCAAUGCCAGUGCCCUCCCUUCUCUGUGUUUUAUUGAUCUUUCUCCAGGACCUGAUUUUUACCUAUUGAGCUAGAUAUGUUUGUUAAAAUGUUAUAGAAUAUUCAGUUAGUGUGGAUCCAGGAGCCCUAACAACAGGACAGCAGGUCAGUUGCUUGCUUUACCUUCCCUGAGAGUGGAGGGCAUCGUGGAUUACAACGCACUUUUGUGUCCCCUGGAGAGGAAGGAACAUCUAGCAAAGUCUUUCAGGGUGGGUCUUGAGCUGUGCCUUAGGGUGACGCCGGUCAGGUCCAUGAGUUGUGCUCCGUUCUGGUUCUCAUGUGUCUGACUUCUCUUUCAGAUGAUUCCAUGGAGCCACAUGUCGGUCCUUGGGAAUUACAGAAGCUGCAGACAAUGGUGACACACCAUCUGACACACUGUCUCUAGGCCAGUAAUCUAGGAGCUAGGCCCCCCGGAAAGAAGAUACAAAACCAAAACUGAAGCCUUCCUUGGGCUGAAAGCACUCGGAUUUACAUCCCAAAGACCGGGGCUGGGCUGCCACAAGAAAUCUACAUGUCAAUUACAAACUAGACAGCACCUGAAAUUUACAUCCCAAAGACUAGUCUGGGCCAGAGCCUGGAAUCUACAAUGUCAAGUCAGGCCUGGCUAGCACCUAAGAUCUGCGUGUCAAAGACCAGCUAGGCUUCUUGUGAAAAAAGGGAAAACUGCCUCUGAAAUUAUCUCCAGAAGGCAGCUGAAAAAGGGAAAAUAUUCCAACAAAUGAGUUUCUCCAGAAGUGAUCCAUCAAGAUGAGGUAAAAGCAGUGAUUCUGAAGCCAGCCCUGAAAAUGCAGAGGAACUGGCCUAGCAGCAACCCUGAGAGCUGGAGAGACAACAGACAGGACCGAAGUCUGGCAAAAACAUCAGAGAGCACUGUACAGUGAGCAAUCUACCCCUUGAAAACAUGCGAGCAGUGAACUCUCACCUACAAGGAAACCCCAGGAUACAGCUUUAGAGACAUGUUUUCAACCAAGAGUCUGGGGCUGGAGAAUAGUACUUUGGCUUAAUGCUUGUGUUGAACAUGGUUUAUCUGAGUUCCAUUCUGGCAUCCAGAACAAAACCAGGACAAACCCCUAAGAACUGCCAAGUAUGGCAUAAAUUAAUUAAAACGUACUUCAAUAAAUAAAUCCCACGUGUGGACCAAUACUAAGAACAGAGGUGCAUAGGAGCUAAUGAGCACCAAACCUUGCAGGAUCAUUUUGUAGACUUGGUCUUUUGGACAGACCAAAAAUGGUUUUAAUCAUUCUGGAGGCUAGUAGGGUUGAGAUUAUACCACUUCCAAAAGCAAACACGCUCAGGGCACAAGCCAGGGAGGGUCCUCAGACACUCACUCCCACACAGGCCUCUUCUUCCUGUGCUUAUGGGUCCUCAUUACAGACAGGACAUCAGCGCAGGCUUCACCCUAAAAAGCCCUGUCACCAUAGAAACAGGGUAUUAAUUAGUGACAAGGAAAACAUGACAAGCCAUCCCCGUGUGUCCCUAAAAAAAUCGGGCACAUUCCUCAAAAGGCUUGAAUAGAAUCCCACAUCUGAUAUGCACUAAGUGGGCAAUUAACAGUUACAUAAGUCCUAGGUUUUAAUUCCAGUCUGAAAUUGAGUCAUACUGUAGCCCUCCCAAAAAGCCCUGGAAGUGACUCUAAGCUCUAAAUAGCAUGUGAUGGGGUGAGGCCCUAAAAAAAAUGAAUUCAUGUUCAGAGUGAUACUCCAGCAGGGUGGGCGCUUGGUGACAGACACAUCUGGGUUUGAUCCCUGGCAAUCAUAUAGCACUGUCAAGAGAAAUUCCCGAGCUUUACUCCCUUUAUCAAAUCAAAUUAAUUAAAUUUAAAUUAAUUAAAUUUUCAGUUAAUCAAAUCAACUGAAAAAAAAACAGUAAUAAAUGAAGUUGCAGGCCUAGUAAAGGAGUAUAGCGUGUAAGGCAACUGAACUAUAGAUGCUGACUUGGUGUAGUACAAAGCACCCCCAUGGGCUCCUGAGCACUGCAGGAGUGAUCAGUCAGCACAGAGCCAAGAGGAAUGUGGACUAUGGCCCCAAAUCAAAUCCAAAAGGGUCGGAGUGAUAGUCAGCUGGUAGGGAAUGUUCUUUGCACACAGCCAAACCGGGUUCAAUCCCCAGCAUCCUAUAUUUUUCCCUAGGCACUGCCAGGAGUAAUUCCUGAGUGCUGAGCCAGAAGCAACCCCUGAACAAUUGCUGAGUGUGACCCCAAAAGCUAAAUAAAUAAGAUGUUAAAAACAAAUAAGGAAAACCAAAACAAACAAACUGAAGUGACGGGUAGUACAAGAAGUAAACUGAUUUAACAAUGGAAGGAAUUUUUUUGAGGAACCUGAAACCAGUACAGUAUGUGGGCACUUUACCAUGCUCAGGCUGCCUGAAGAUCCCCUGCAUCUCAGCAGUAAAGCCUGACAAUUGCCAAGUGUAGCCAAUAAACAAAAACAGAAAAAAGAAAAAAACCUGAUAAACUGUGAUUCGCAUCGCUGUCAAUGAUCCUGGCCUGUCAGAAUCACGAAUUCUGUAGAAGACACAGCCCAGCAUGGUCGCUGCUUGCCCUUGCGGGUCUGGCCAGGCACAGUCAGCCCCACACUGCUCUCAGCACAGCCUGCAGGUGCUGGUAGGUCUCCAGCAUCACGUCCCUGUAGAGCUUUCUCUGAUCAGCGUCCAGGCAUGUCCACUCCUCCGGGGAGAAUCUCACGGCCAUUUCGGGGUAGGAAACUGUGCCGUGAGCCAAAACACAGGGGAGUGGGAGUCAGGGCCCAUCUCCACCUCAUUCCCAGGCUGUGAGGAUGGGACCCCUCAGAGCGCUAACAGGGCUCAGGAACUUUCCCUAGGAAUGAACCAACCUCGAUUUCUCUCCAUUCACCCUCCUGGCUGACGAGGAGAAAUCACAAUAGACAUCAAUCCAAGGCACUUGGAUCUAAAAAAAUGUGAGGACGCUAUACUACAAGUUUUCUGGAGGUGCCAGUCUUGCACACAGCCACCCCAAGGUCAACUCCACACCACUGAUCCAGUGAAAACUGCAGAGAGCAACAACUGAGCACUGAACCAGCAGGGUCAAAAUGUAAAACUGGGUUUGGCUGAAAACGUUAAAGACACACACACAAUGCAAAAUGUGGAUGACUGGAAACUUCGACCUUUACUUGAUUCCAUGAGGUCACCUACAUUUCCGUCAGAUUCUUAAAGGGCCAGGCUCCAAUGUUCCUGACCAGGUACUUUCUGAUCAGGAAAGUUAAUUUUUCCCCCAUCUCUGGUCUUGGAUCAGAUCACCAGGAACACUGGAGGG
Sorex araneus (European shrew) is the source of this 5764-nucleotide long non-coding RNA. RefSeq lists it as uncharacterized. The record is from RefSeq and is a predicted model, not a curated record. The transcript has 3 exons. NCBI's taxonomy places the organism in Eukaryota, Metazoa, Chordata, Mammalia, Eulipotyphla, Soricidae.